This is a non-coding RNA of Actinosynnema mirum DSM 43827, 69 nucleotides long. It matches the Rfam family "ASpks TB sRNA". The record is from Rfam. Lineage: Bacteria; Bacillati; Actinomycetota; Actinomycetes; Pseudonocardiales; Pseudonocardiaceae.
CUUGAUCGAGCCGAGCAGCAGCGGCUCGGGCCGGUCCUGGCCGUAGGUGGCGAUGAGGGCCUGCGCCUC